This 77-nucleotide transfer RNA is filed under the name Gammaproteobacteria bacterium. Its description in RNAcentral is "tRNA-Arg". It matches the Rfam family "tRNA". Rfam says of the family: Transfer RNA (tRNA) molecules are approximately 80 nucleotides in length. The record is from RNAcentral. Lineage: Bacteria; Pseudomonadati; Pseudomonadota; Gammaproteobacteria.
GCGUCCGUAGCUCAGUUGGAUAGAGCGCACCCCUCCGGAGGGUGAGGUCGGGGGUUCGACUCCUCCCGGGCGCGCCA